Molecule: long non-coding RNA, 1745 nt
Filed under: Volvox carteri
Lineage: Eukaryota; Viridiplantae; Chlorophyta; Chlorophyceae; Chlamydomonadales; Volvocaceae
Description: long non-coding RNA (VCAR_LNC000497)
Source: RNAcentral
AGGAUAGCCUUCUGCGUUUUCCGUCGUACGCCACGAUGGUCGUACGCCUGCUAAGCAAUGUGCGCCGUUUUUUUUCACUGUUGCACUGCCGCGUUUUCCUAUCGUAAGUAAAGUUGUAUAUCCUGCUUUUCUUCACAAACACAUAUCACAUAUUCUCUCUUUCCCAGAUCAGUGGUGGCUUUCUCUCGUGGUGUUUUAUUCCAUUUACUAGGAUAUCACUUCCCACUUGUUUGUCCGUGCUCACGCGCCCAUGCGCGCCUCAUUAAUAUGUACUCGAAGGCCCACGGAACCCGAUUACGAUUGUGCCCGUGGUGCAGCCGUACCUGUCAUAUGUAAGUAGAUUCAAUAGAUAGCGGAUGAUAGACAAUGCUGACACACUAGCUCAACGGCUCAUUAUGGCAAAGUAGUGCAUGGGUCUAGCUGCUGACGGUUUAGCUAGUGCUGGUCACCGAACUUGUGUCUUCUUUUUGCACUCUCUAUCUAGGCAUUUCUGUCGUUAGGUUUCGGGGCGCCUGCCGGAGGCUCUCCAGUCAGCCGUCAUGCACUUGAUGUACGGCGGUAAUCAGUAAAUCUGCUCGUACUUUUUGUAUGCUGAUGUAUGAAGUACUCGUGCAGAUACUUUGAUGCAGCAAGACACGUAAUGUACGGAGGUGCUCUGUACGUAAAGUACGUGGCAUGCGAAGUCCUUACAGCGGAGCAUUUGGCGUACGGAGGUAUUUGGCGUACGGAGGUAUUUGGCGUACGGAGGUAUUUGGCGUACGGAGGUAUUUGGCGUACGGAGGUACAUGGCGUACGGAGGUACAUGGCGUACGGAGGUAUUUGGCGUACGGAGGUAUUUGGCGUACGGAGGUACAUGGCGUACGGAGGUACAUGGCGUACGGAGAUACUUGGCGUGUAGGCGUACUUGGUGCAACAAGGCACAUGAUGUACGGAUCACUGAGUUUCAUCAGUUCUGCGAGUAAAAUUUGUGUGUUAAUGCACAGCUGCAGAUUGAAAGCCGAUUGAUAGGAGGUGAGGCCGAAAGCGAGGGGUAGUGUAGAGGUUAGACGGCCGGUUGUUUGGCGUUGCGGAGGUUGGGAUAUGGGGCUGCCUUGGGCUCUAGCGGGGCUGUGCCUAGGGAAUAUUUCCCAAUGCGAUAUUGUUCCGAUGUUCCGAUGGCUUGGAUGUGGGAGUCCAGUGUCGUGUCUCGUCCUUGAACUUGUAGAUCAGCAGAUCGCGAAAAUAAAUUGAUUGUUGAAUGGGUGGACGAACGGCAGAUGGAUGGCCGUGGAUAUUUAAGCCGUCGUUGUUUGGCUAUAUAUUUCUACCGGCAUCUGUCUCGUCCCUUGGUAAAGCAAGCGUUCCUGAUCAGUAGUAUAAGGACUUGUUCACAUGCUGUGUAAUUAGUACGGUGCGGCGGAAUUGUGAUUUGAAUUUUGGGCUAUUGGGCCGAAUGUCGAACUUGGGGGCUGAUUCGGCUGGAUUCGGGAUUGAUUCGAUGUAUAUGGAAAAAAAAUUGAUAUAAAGACCAUUUUGUAAUUGGGGACCCCACUUUAUUAAUUCACCAGUCGGCAAAUGCCGUGAAUUACUUUUUAGCAAUUAACCUGCCAUACAUAUACUUCUAUGAAAAGGGCAUCAGUAUGAAGUUAUCCAUAAGUGGCACACUAGUUAUCAGGGCCUCAGACCUGCUGAUAACUUUCAAAGUGGACAUCAACUUCCGAGCGGGAAAAUUCAUAGUCAGCCAUUUCCCUCCCCAAGGUCCUUCG